AUAUAUAUAUAUAUAUAUAUAUAUAUAUUUUAUAUAUUAGGGAAUAUUAUUAUUUUAUUAUAUACACAAGGUCUGGAUAUGAGGUAUUCUGCAAUCUGAUUGGUUCUCUACUAGCAGGAUAUUAGCUCAUAUCCUGCUAGUAGAGAAAAACAAAAUGGCGGCUAAAAUUGAAUUUCCGAUGUUUUGCGAACGAGAAAACGGCAAGUUGUUCGCUUUUUAUAGCCCUUUCAGGAUUAAAAACACAAUGAAAAAACUCCCACAAAUUGACCAUUUGCGUAAUAGACUAAAUUUUGAACUAAACAAGUCUAGACAAAAAUUUCAUCACAGCUUGAAGGAGCAUCACAAAAUUAGU
This is a non-coding RNA of Paramuricea clavata, 352 nucleotides long. Lineage: Eukaryota; Metazoa; Cnidaria; Anthozoa; Malacalcyonacea; Plexauridae. The record is from the annotation of a GenBank genome assembly.